RNAcentral lists this ribosomal RNA (216 nucleotides) under uncultured bacterium. RNAcentral's name for it is "partial 16S ribosomal RNA". It matches the Rfam family "Bacterial small subunit ribosomal RNA", at positions 118 to 351 of the family's 1533-position model. The record is from RNAcentral.
UGGGAACAUACCUUUUGGUUCGGAACAACACAGGGAAACUUGUGCUAAUACCGGAUAAGCCCUUACGGGGAAAGAUUUAUCGCCGAAAGAUUGGCCCGCGUCUGAUUAGCUAGUUGGUGAGGUAACGGCUCACCAAGGCGACGACGGGUAGCUGGUCUGAGAGGAUGAUCAGCCACACUGGAACUGAGACACGGCCCAGACUCCUACGGGAGACAG